Molecule: ribosomal RNA, 549 nt
Filed under: uncultured archaeon
Lineage: Archaea
Description: bacterial SSU rRNA
Rfam family: Archaeal small subunit ribosomal RNA
Source: RNAcentral
ACCUCCGCAAUACACGAAAGUGUGACGGGGUUACCCAAAGUGUUCAUUAGAACUGUGGUAGGUGAGUAAUGUUCCCUACUAGAAAGGAGAGGGCAAGGCUGGUGCCAGCCGCCGCGGUAAAACCAGCUCUUCAAGUGGUCGGGAUAAUUAUUGGGCUUAAAGUGUCCGUAGCCGGUUUAGUAGGUUCCUGGUGAAAUCGGGUAGCUUAACUAUCUAUAUGCUAGGAAUACUACUAUACUAGAGGGCGGGAGAGGUCUGAGGUACUACAGGGGUAGGGGUGAAAUCUUAUAAUCCUUGUUGGACCACCAGUGGCGAAGGCGUCAGACUGGAACGCGCCUGACGGUGAGGGACGAAAGCCAGGGGAGCGAACCGGAUUAGAUACCCGGGUAGUCCUGGCCGUAAACGAUGCAUACUAGGUGAUGGCACGGCCAUGAGCCGUGUCAGUGCCGUAGGGAAACCGUUAAGUGUGCCGCCUGGGAAGUACGGUCGCAAGGCUAAAACUUAAAGGAAUUGGCGGGGGAGCACCACAAGGGGUGAAGCCUGCGGUUC